UGUUUCUGAUUUCAAACAUGUAUGCUGGGUCCAUUGUUGAGUAACCAGCAACAGCAUCUACCUCUGUCCAGCUUCGGAACAACGACUCAGUAGUGUGCAGAGUUAUAAAUCCUGAUCUCUGCACUACUAAUGUGCAUUUCCUCUCCAAUCUAAGAGGUAAUUUGAUCUAUUGGUGUUUUUAUGCAUCUAGUCCCUUACAGGCACAGGGCAAGAAAAUAUUUAACCAGAAAGUUCUGUAGUUAGAGUUGUGACCACAAGAUGGCGGUGCACCCCGGCUGAUGCAGAACAUGUGCAGGGUUCAUUUCAGUGGAUUCUGAAUGAAUAGGCUUAGGGCAGAAGCAGAGCCUUUUUCUUAUUGGCUGGGUAGACAAUGUGAGAAACCACUGGUUGUUAGAGAAAAGAAGGGAUCACUUGGUAAUAGAAGUAGCUCUUCUGGCUGGAGUUUGCAGUUUGCAAUUGAUCCCAAAUGGGAAGAAUAAUGAAGACACCUAUCGGAGCUUUAAUCAUGUUCUUGUGGCUGCAGCUGGACUGUGUGAGCCGAGGAGAGAAUGUGGAGCAGAGUCCUCCCAGCCUGAGUGUCCAGGAGGGAAACAGCUCUGUUAUCACCUGCACCUACACAGACAGUAAUUCAGAGUACUUCCCUUGGUAUAAGCAAGAACCUGGCAAAGGUCUCCGGUUCCUUAUAAGCAUUCGUUCAAAUAAGGUCAAAGAGGAAGACCAAGGACUCACUGUUUUAUUGAAUAAGACGGCCAAACAUCUGUCCCUGCACAUCACAGCCGCCCAGCCUGGAGACGCAGCUGUCUACUUCUGUGCAGCAAGUGCACAUUGCUUCCCAGGCACCUGCUAGCUGUACUCAAACCUGCUA
Vicugna pacos (alpaca) is the source of this 865-nucleotide non-coding RNA. The record is from the annotation of a RefSeq genome assembly. Lineage: Eukaryota; Metazoa; Chordata; Mammalia; Artiodactyla; Camelidae.